This 1546-nucleotide ribosomal RNA is filed under the name Caenorhabditis nigoni. RNAcentral's name for it is "eukaryotic LSU rRNA". It matches the Rfam family "Eukaryotic large subunit ribosomal RNA", at positions 1369 to 2984 of the family's 3401-position model. The record is from RNAcentral. Lineage: Eukaryota; Metazoa; Nematoda; Chromadorea; Rhabditida; Rhabditidae.
AGGCCGUAACGAGUAGGAAGGUCGUGGCGGUUGCUUUGAAGGCUAUGAGCGUGGGCUCGGCUGGAGCUUCCGUCAGUGCAGAUCGUAAUGGUAGUAGCAAAUAUUCAAGUUCGAUCCUUGAAGACUGAAGUGGAGAAGGGUUCCACGUGAACAGUAGUUGGAUGUGGGUCAGUCGAUCCUAAGGUACUGGCGAACGCCUUGUAUCAUCGGUGGCGAAAAGCUUGCUUUUGGUCCCCGUUUGUCGAAAGGGAAUAGGGUUAAUAUUCCCUAACUGAGAUGCAAAGAUUGUGUUCUUCGGAGCACAAGCGCGGUAACGCAUUCGAACUUGGUUAGUCGCUCAAAGACCGAGCUAGAGUUUUCUUCUCUAGUUAAGGAACGGACUCCCUGGAAUUGGUUCAGCCAGAGAUGGGGACGUUGUUUCCGAAAAGCACCGCGGUUUCUGUGGUGUCUCGUGCUCUUUGAACGGCCCUUAAAACACCAAGGGAGGCUAUUAAUUUGCACUCAAUCGUACCGAUAUCCGCAUUAGGUCUCCAAGGUGAACAGCCUCUAGUCGAUAGAAUAAUGUAGGUAAGGGAAGUCGGCAAACUAGAUCCGUAACUUCGGGAAAAGGAUUGGCUCCAGUGGUUGGAACGAUUGGCCAGUUGGUUGAUGCUUGUCCGGCGCUAUUCUGUCUGCUUGAUGCUUUCGGGCUGAUGGCGGACUAGUGAUAGUGCUUGCUUGUGGACGCUUUCUGGUGUGUGCUAGGACCUCGGUUCUAGUAUCCUGAUCGCUCAUCUAAACAACCGUACUGGAACCGGUACGGACUCAGGGAAUCCGACUGUCUAAUUAAAACAGAGGUGACAGAUGGUCCUUGCGGACGCUGACUGUCACUGAUUUCUGCCCAGUGCUCUGAAUGUUAAAUCGUAGUAAUUCGAGUAAGCGCGGGUAAACGGCGGGAGUAACUAUGACUCUCUUAAGGUAGCCAAAUGCCUCGUCAUUUAAUUGUUGACGCGCAUGAAUGGAUUAACGAGAUUCCUACUGUCCCUAACUACUAUCUAGCGAAACCACAGCCAAGGGAACGGGCUUGGCAAAAAUAGCGGGGAAAGAAGACCCUGUUGAGCUUGACUCUAGUUUGACAUUGUGAAGAGUCAUGAGAGGUGUAGCAUAGGUGGGAGACUUCGGUCGCCGGUGAAAUACCACCACUUUCAUCGACUCUUUACUUAUUCGGUUAAAAGAGAAUUGGCUUCACGGCCUUUUUUCGAAGCAUUAAGCGGAGCCAUUUUAUGGCACCGUGACUCUCCUCGAAGACAGUGUCAAGCGGGGAGUUUGACUGGGGCGGUACAUCUAUCAAAUCGUAACGUAGGUGUCCUAAGGCGAGCUCAGAGAGGACGGAAACCUCUCGUAGAGCAAAAGGGCAAAAGCUUGCUUGAUCUUGACUUUCAGUACGAGUACAGACCGCGAAAGCGUGGCCUAUCGAUCCUUUUAAUCCUGAUUGUUUCAGGUAAGAGGUGUCAGAAAAGUUACCACUUCGCUUCACCAUCUUCUGCAUCGGACUUGUCUUCCUUAU